GAACGGUAACAGGUCUAGCUUGCUAGAUGCUGACGAGUGGCGGACGGGUGAGUAACGCGUAGGAAUUAGUCUAUGAGAGUGGGACAACACGGGGAAACUCGUGCUAAUACCACAUACGUUCUUCGGAAGAAAGGCUGGGGUAACUCAGUCGCUCAUAGGGGAGCCUGCGUUGGAUUAGCUAGUUGGUGGGGUAAAGGCCUACCAAGGCGACGAUCCAUAGCUGUUCUGAGAGGAAGGACAGCCACACUGGGACUGAGACACGGCCCAGACUCCUACGGGAGGCAGCAGUGGGGAAUAUUGGACAAUGGGCGCAAGCCUGAUCCAGCAAUACCGCGUGUGUGAAGAAGGUCUUCGGAUUGUAAAGCACUUUAAGUUGGGAGGAAGGGUUGUAGAUUAAUACUCUGCAAUUUUGACGUUACCGACAGAAUAAGCACCGGCUAACUCUGUG
Molecule: ribosomal RNA, 448 nt
Filed under: uncultured bacterium
Lineage: Bacteria
Description: bacterial SSU rRNA
Rfam family: Bacterial small subunit ribosomal RNA
Source: RNAcentral